UACGUAGGUGGCAAGCGUUAAUCGGAAUUACUGGGCGUAAAGCGCACGCAGGCGGUCUGUCAAGUCGGAUGUGAAAUCCCCGGGCUCAACCUGGGAACUGCAUUCGAAACUGGCAGGCUGGAGUCUCGUAGAGGGAGGUAGAAUUCCAGGUGUAGCGGUGAAAUGCGUAGAGAUCUGGAGGAAUACCGGUGGCGAAGGCGGCCUCCUGGACGAAGACUGACGCUCAGGUGCGAAAGCGUGGGGAGCAAAC
RNAcentral lists this ribosomal RNA (250 nucleotides) under uncultured bacterium. Its description in RNAcentral is "partial 16S ribosomal RNA". It matches the Rfam family "Bacterial small subunit ribosomal RNA", at positions 524 to 773 of the family's 1533-position model. The record is from RNAcentral.